Molecule: non-coding RNA, 1595 nt
Organism: Chrysemys picta bellii (western painted turtle)
Lineage: Eukaryota; Metazoa; Chordata; Testudines; Emydidae
Source: RefSeq, a predicted model, not a curated record
GUAAAGGAUCAACCUCUUCAUCUUUAAUAGCACUUCAUUCAAACUGCUGUUCCAAACCAUGGCACCACAACACUUGCUACCAAACCUGUCACUCCAGAAGUAAUAGCAAGGAGGCAUUCAGAUAUAUAUGUAUGGAUGGGGAUCGGGGUCAUGCUGAUCUGCUGCCAUGGACACAGGACUUAGGAUUUUUUUUUCCCAAACUGCUGAUUAAUGCUGUAAGAGAAACUGAUGUCAAUGGAGGACUCAAACUGCUGGCAAACUAUGUAAAAGUAAGAUGCAUAGAUGUGCUGAUCCAUCACAGCCAGCGGAGGAAGGGUGAUGAUCACUCCAGUCUACAUGACAUAUAGGAGAAGCACCAGGCUAGCUCUCAGCAGAGACAUAUGGUAACUGUGUUGCAACCCUUUCUCUGGUUAGGUUUCACUUCCAGCAUGCCAUCGUUUCAUUGCCAAGUUAUCGAAAAAGAAGCAACUUUGAACUUACAUUUGUAAGAGUUGUUUGGGUGCUUGUUUUGGAUUUUUUUUUAUACCCAUUUCAGCUUGUGGUUGUUGAAAAAUCUGGCAACCCUCUGUAGCCUCCUGGGUGGGACUAAUGGGGUCAGAUGACAGCCUGAUGAACACAUGGGCCUUAUAAAAAAGGGCAGAGAAAAUUCAUGGAGACAACCUACAGGAAGCAGGUUAGGCUCAUGUGGAAGGUCCUGAGGUAGGGUAUGCAGGAUACAGGGAACACCAAUGAGUGAUAGAUUGCAAGAGGAACUUCAGGGAAAGCAGCAUAGGAGUCAGCACUCUGUGACAGAACAAGGAAAGAUUUAAAGGAAGCCCAGGAGGGGCAGAAAAAUCUUUUGGAUAUUUGGCUGGACUUUUGUUACCCUGGAAGGGGUUAAAUUUGCUUAGUAACUUGGAUGGGGGUCCAAACUACAUCAUGAACACCUUUCCAUGUGAGAAAGGCCAAAGGGACGCACCUUGGAGAAGGGAAAUGAGGCAGGAAGCACCUGCAAAUGUCAUGUUUGUCCAGAAGGGGUGCAAUGGGAUGACAUAUGGUGUAAAGAGUGUAUAGUGUACUAUGACCUGUCAGGAUAGCAAAAGAAAAAUCAUUCACAGAAUAUGUAAUAAUACUUAUGCAAUGCAUUCAAGGACUUGAACAUUUGUUUUAAAAAAUCCACUCUCAUGCCAGAAAGUAUAAUUGUUAACCCGUUUUCUAAAUGUGUAAUUUGAAGUGAAGGUGGGCUUGUCCACGGUCAUACACCUAGUGAAUGACACAGUUGGGAAUGGCUUGAUUCCCAGCUCCCUGUCCUAACCAUUAGACAACAUUCCCUCUGCUUGCAGCAACAAAUGUAAUAUAAUAAUUGGAAGAAACUUUCUGAAUUUUUCAUACCUCUAAAACAAAAUUAAAUUGAAAAUGUUGGACCACAUCCUCAUGUGACAUAAUUCACAGUUAAGAUGAUUUAAACCAGCUGAAGAUGAUUACACCCUCCAAGACAUGGCAUGGCUUCUGGUCAAAAAACAUCGGAGGGUGGAAUCUGUCCUUUAAAAUACAGUUCUCCCUAAGGAACAAAAUUAUGCUUUGUAACAAACAAGUGCAAAAUAAAAAAGAACAUU